Molecule: ribosomal RNA, 400 nt
Filed under: uncultured bacterium
Lineage: Bacteria
Description: bacterial SSU rRNA
Rfam family: Bacterial small subunit ribosomal RNA
Source: RNAcentral
UGGGGAAUAUUGGACAAUGGGGGCAACCCUGAUCCAGCCAUGCCGCGUGAGUGAUGAAGGCCUUAGGGUUGUAAAACUCUUUUAUCCGGGAAGAUAAUGACUGUACCGGAAGAAUAAGCCCCGGCUAACUUCGUGCCAGCAGCCGCGGUAAUACGAAGGGGGCUAGCGUUGUUCGGAAUCACUGGGCGUAAAGCGCACGUAGGCGGAUUGUUAAGUCAGAGGUGAAAUCCCGGAGCUCAACUUCGGAACUGCCUUUGAUACUGGCAAUCUCGAGUCUGGAAGAGGUUAGUGGAACUGCAAGUGUAGAGGUGAAAUUCGUAGAUAUUUGCAAGAACACCAGUGGCGAAGGCGGCUAACUGGUCCAGUACUGACGCUGAGGUGCGAAAGCGUGGGGAGCAAA